This 1928-nucleotide long non-coding RNA is filed under the name Homo sapiens (human). RNAcentral describes it as "HSALNT0316368". The record is from RNAcentral. Lineage: Eukaryota; Metazoa; Chordata; Mammalia; Primates; Hominidae.
AAGAUAAGCUAAUAACUUUGGACACAAUUUCACUCCUCUGCAUUCACCAAAUGUCCAAUUACAUAUCCUCCCUGCCUGGACCUUCAGAACAAUAUAAAACUGAAUGAAGGCUAUGAAAGAAGUCACAGGAGGAUUUUUGCAGAGCUUCCAUCCAGUUCAGAAACAAAGCAAUUCAAUACAUGUCUUCAAGAUUUCUAAAGGCAAUGACUUAAUUCUAAGUUCCAUGAAAGCAGGCAUUGUGUGAAUUUCUCCUGCAUCUGGAACUGGCCUAGCACACCAAAUGGAGUCUCACUCUGUCUCCCACGCUGGAGUGCCUCUGAAUGCUGUUUUAGCCAUGGUUCUGGAGAGGGUAGCGACAGGAGCUGUCUAGGUGGGAUCCAGAGGAAAGUACGAAUGAGCAGAAGGGGCAAACUUGUUUACCAAAUUCUCAAAUGAAAAACAAAAUAUUCUUGUGCGGAAUUUCAGAGAAUUGCAGUUCCUGUUUCAGCCUGAACCUCAGAUUUUUCCACCCACAUGGAGUUUGGAGAGUCUUACAACAUGAAGUUCAAAACAGAAACAUUAAUCGCCUCCACACUUUAAUGCCUUGUUUUUCUCCACCACAAAAAUGUUUACCCAGGCUGAAGUACUUUUUCUCCUGAGCCCAGACUUGAUAAUCACUUUCUCAAUCUCUGCUUGUUAAAUGGCUUCUAAAAAUUCUUGGGUAAAUAUGGGUAUGGUUGCAUAAAAGAAAAAUCCCUUAAAGGAUAAGCCAAAAUUUUUCAGUGAUAGUGCAUAAAAGCCUUGUUAUCUUUAAGGCUUGUCUUUUGGUGCAUAGAGCCAAAUAAAUUGCCAAGGCAAAAACAAAAAGAAAGAAAAUCUAGUCUCUGAUUUAGUGCCCAAAAGUUUUUAAUGCUUUGGGUCCUCCAGUUGCUCUAAGAAUUUUUUGUGGCUUUGAAGCUUUUUAUCAGGUUUUAAUUUUAUCCUUAUAUUUUGACUGAUAUUUCCAUUAAAUGAAUUAGGGGAUGUACAAUAUGCCAACCAUAUACUACAUAAAAGUAUUGUCACUCAGGCCUACAAAGUGCCUAACAACCAAACAGAAUAUUCACUGCAAAUGACUCAUGGAAUGUUACCUGAGAGAGUAAUAAAUAUUCUUUCAACAUUCAUCCAAGUAAAUAAGCUCUGUCAGGAAAGAAUGUUCAGAAGCAAAGGGCCCUUCACUGGAAAAGAGGUAACAAUAAAUAUAUAAGAAAGGAAGAGAAGAUAUGAAGAUUUUAGAUUGUCUAAGGGGAAGUGUUUAUAUGUAAAAGGAAAAUGUAAAAUAUGAUGACUAUCUCUUAUUGUAUAAUAUUCCUUACAUAAAAAUAAAUCUACUUGCCAUUAAUUUAUUUUUCUAAUGUAGAAAUUAGACAUGUGAUUCAUUAUUUUCUAGUAGCCAUUAAUCAAGUAUGAUCAUGUUCUGCCGACUUAUCCUCUGGAAGAAGGCUGUUCUCCAAUAGGUCAACUUUCUCCAAGUCCCAGCUAAUAUAUCACCCAUGUUAUGAUGCCUUGUUUCUGAAACUCUUCAGCUGAAUUAUGUUGUCCCUCCAAUGACUUUUCCUACAGCACUAUUAAAGCAUUAAUUACUCUAUGUUGGGUUUCGUUUGUUCAUCUAUCUUUCCAUCAAGAAAGGAAGCACAUCAAUGGUAGGAAAUGUGUCACAUUUACUUUAGUUUAUCUUUUGCCCUACCUCAGGGCCCAGGACACGUCAGAACAUUUCUUGAAUGAAUGAACAAAUGAAUGAAUAUUAUGCUGAACUCAUUUUGAUAACAUCACAUGCACGUAGGAGAAUAUAAACAAAUAAAUGCAACUUGCCACAAAUCGUAGUUGUUUAUUCACUCACUCUGUUAAAAAAAAAAGCAUUAGAGUUUCCAGUAUUGAGAAAGAUGGACAAUAAACAAGUAAAUAAAUAA